AAUUCCAGCUCCAAUAGUGUAUAUUAGAGUUGUUGCAGUUAAAAAGCUCGUAGUUGGAUUUCUGCUGUGGUCAUCCGGUGCCGCCCGUACGGGUGCGCACCUGGUUUGGCUGCGGCUUUCUUCCUGUAGCCUUCCGCGCUUAAUUGCGUGUGUUGUGCUGCGGAACUUUUACUUUGAGAAAAAUAGAGUGUUUCAAGCAGGCUUGUCGCCCUGAAUACUUCAGCAUGGAAUAAUAGGAUAGGACCUUGGUUCUAUUUUGUUGGUUUCUAGGACCAAGGUAAUGAUUAAUAGGGACAGUUGGGGGCAUUCGUAUUUAACUGUCAGAGGUGAAAUUCUUAGAUUUGUUAAAGACGAACUACUGCGAAAGCAUUUGCCAAGGAUGUUUUCAUUAAUCAAGAACGACAGUAGGGGGUUUGAAGACGAUUAGAUACCGUCGUAAUCUCUACCAUAAACUAUGCCGACUAGAGAUAGGGAAAUGCCUACCUUGGCUUCUCCUGA
Molecule: ribosomal RNA, 498 nt
Filed under: Cyclospora sp.
Lineage: Eukaryota; Apicomplexa; Conoidasida; Eucoccidiorida; Eimeriidae
Description: SSU rRNA
Rfam family: Eukaryotic small subunit ribosomal RNA
Source: RNAcentral